CCCUUAGAUGUUCUGGGCCGCACGCGUGCUACACUGAGUGGAUCAGCGGGUCAGGUUGCGCGAAAGUGUUUCCUAAUCUUGAAAUCCGCUCGUGAUGGGGAUUGACGGUUGCAAUUUUCUGUCAUGAACGAGGAAUACCUUGUAAGCGCGGGUCAUCAUCCCGCGCUGAAUACGUCCCUGUCCUUUGUACACACCGCCCGUCGCUCCUACCGAUUGAGUGGUCCGGUGAGGCUUUGGGAUCUGAGCGGAAAGAGCGUUUCGCUGUUUCUGCUCGGAAAACUCAGUCGAACCUUAUCAUUUAGAGGAAGGAGAAGUCGUAACA
RNAcentral lists this ribosomal RNA (322 nucleotides) under uncultured eukaryote. RNAcentral describes it as "partial 18S ribosomal RNA". It matches the Rfam family "Eukaryotic small subunit ribosomal RNA", at positions 1470 to 1796 of the family's 1831-position model. The record is from RNAcentral.